AUGGGGAUUUAUACCUCACACUCCUCAAAGGAAAUUGGCUCACAAAGACCCCCAGGCAUUGUCUGGUCAUAUGUGGGAGGCAGCAGCAGCAACAACAACAGCAACAGCAACAACAGCUACAGGAGGAAGAAGAGGAGCAGUGAGGGUGGCAGAAGCUUUUAAAAUUAAUCUGUUUUUUUGUCUAUUAAAAAAAAUGUUCUACCAAUUUAGAGAGGAACAAGGGUUCUAAACUCCAGACUUCUGUUCACCUACAAUGUAAAAUUUAAAUAUCCAGUAACUCCAAGAAUUAUAUUUUAUAAGAUUUAUUAGUAAUAACUUGAAGUAGAAGAAAUACAAGAACAAAAGUAAAAACCUGAGUAAAGCCAUGUGAAUAAAGUUCUUCUGCUUGGCACUCACCCAACUGCCACAACCACCUUCCAGGGAACAGAGAGCAAGGGUGGAGAUCGAACUGUUUGCCAGCACUAGAAGGGGGAAGGAAAGGGAGGGAUCAAGACAAUUUGGAUCACAUAUCUUCAGAAAACUUAUGUGGAAAUUUAUUAUUACAUGGGCAAUAGGCGGAGUCAUUCGAGACAGAAGGCGAGCACUGAUAAUAGAAGGAAAGGUUUAUCAAUUAACUUCGGAGCAGCUUUGCUCUGACAACUACAGGACCCCUCCCCGCCAUUUCACUAGCAUCAUGCUUCGGAAGCUGCGCGAGAACACUUUGGGUUGUGGGACGCCUGCAACAAUGAAUUAUCACAGUUCAAAGAAAAACGAUUUGCUCAUUUGGUAAUAAGUGAUGAGGACAUGAAUUACUGAGAUACUCCCAGACUUGGUGUUCAUCUCAGUAUCAAUAAAUCUCUAACCUACUGCCCUGAAACUAAGUCC
Molecule: long non-coding RNA, 864 nt
Filed under: Monodelphis domestica (gray short-tailed opossum)
Lineage: Eukaryota; Metazoa; Chordata; Mammalia; Didelphimorphia; Didelphidae
Description: lncRNA (ENSMODG00000035065.2)
Source: RNAcentral